AUGGCGCCCGUCUCCUUCCUCGGGCUUACUUUCGCCUUGCUCUGCUUCGUCGUCUUCUACUACUUCCACAUCAGGUCCAAGCGCAAGAACCCAGCUCUCCCGCUGGACUGGCCGCUCGUGGGCAUGCUCCCAGCGCUCCUCGGCAACCUACCGCGCCUCCACGCUCCCAGCGCUCCUCGGCAACCUACCGCGCCUCCACGACUGGGUCACCUCCGUCCUCGUCGCCAGCCCGCUCAGCUUCCGCCUCGCCGGCCCGCCGCGCUCGGGAAUGCAGCUCUUCAUCACCGCCGAUCCGGCCAACGUUCGCCACGUCUUCACCUCCAACUUCCCCAACUACCCCAAGGGCCCCGAGUUCGCCCAUAUCAUGGACAUUUUCGGCGGUGGUAUCUUCAACGCCGACGGCGACUCCUGGCGCCGUCAGCGUGCCAAGGCGCAGCUGCUUAUGUCCGGGCCUCGGUUCCGAGCCUUCGUAUCCAGCUGCAGCCGCCGCAAGGUCGAAUGCGACCUGCUCCCGCUGCUAGCCCGCAUCGCCGGCUCACGUUCGACACCACGACCACGCCGGUCUUAGGAGUUGACCCUGGCUGCCUGGCCGUCGGCUUCCCGGAGGUGCCGUUCGUGCGCGCCAUAGAUGACGCCAUGGAUUUUCUCCUCGUCCGCAACUUGCUCCCGCUGUCGUGGUGGAAGCUGGUGCGGCGGCUCGGGCUCGGGUACGAGCGGAAGAUGGCGGUGGCGUGGCGCGACAUCGACCGGUUCAUCGGCGACACGAUCGCCAAGCGGCGGGAGGCGGUGAAGGCCACGGGUGGGAUCGAGGACUCGGCGGACCUGCUCUCUUCCUACAUCGACGACGACGAUGGCGACGCCGGCAGCGGCACGGUUGUCGACGUAUUCCUCCGCGACACGACCAUGAACCUUAUGAUCGCCGGCCGGGACACGACCGGGUCGGCGCUGACCUGGUUCUUCUACCUCCUCACCAGGAACCCGGGCGUGGUGUCCAAGAUCCUCGCAGAGCUCGACACCAUCAAGACCACCACCACCACCACCCUGGACGGCAUGGUGACCUUCGACCCGGACGAGCUCGGCCGGCUGGUGUACCUGCACGCGGCCCUGUGCGAGUCGCUCCGGCUGUACCCGCCGGUGCCGUUUGAGCACAAGGGCGUGGUGGCCGCCGAGGCGCUGCCGAGCGGGCACGAGGUGCGGCCAGGGGACAAGAUCCUUGUGUCGCUGUACGCGAUGGGGAGGAUGGAGGCCGUCUGGGGCAUGGACUGCCGGGAGUUCCGGCCGGAGCGGUGGAUCGGGGAGGACGGCAAGCCGCGGUACGUGCCGUCGUACAAGUUCGCCUCCUUCAACGCCGGGCCGCGGACCUGCCUGGGCAAGGACAUGGCCUUCGUGCAGCUCAAGGCCGUGGCGGCCGCCGUGGUGAGAAACUUCGAGGUGGAGGCCGUGCCGGGGCACGUCGUCCAGCCCAAGAUCUCCAUUGUUCUCCACAUGAAGAACGGCUUCACGGCCAGGAUCAAGAGGAGGCAGGUGAUGAACAGCUGA
This 1539-nucleotide ribosomal RNA is filed under the name Triticum aestivum (bread wheat). Its description in RNAcentral is "partial small subunit ribosomal RNA". Lineage: Eukaryota; Viridiplantae; Streptophyta; Magnoliopsida; Poales; Poaceae. The record is from RNAcentral.